GAAUUGAAGAGUUUGAUCAUGGCUCAGAUUGAACGCUGGCGGCAGGCUUAACACAUGCAAGUCGAACGGUAGCACAUAGGAGUUUGCUCCUUGGGUGACGAGUGGCGGACGGGUGAGUAAUGCUUGGGAAUCUGGCUUAUGGAGGGGGAUAACUACUGGAAACGGUAGCUAAUACCGCGUAAUGUCUUAGGACUAAAGGGUGGGACCAUUUGGCCACCUGCCAUAAGAUGAGCCCAAGUGGGAUUAGGUAGUUGGUGAGGUAAAGGCUCACCAAGCCCGCGAUCUCUAGCUGGUCUGAGAGGAUGACCAGCCACACUGGAACUGAGACACGGUCCAGACUCCUACGGGAGGCAGCAGUGGG
This 361-nucleotide ribosomal RNA is filed under the name Mannheimia haemolytica. RNAcentral's name for it is "bacterial SSU rRNA". It matches the Rfam family "Bacterial small subunit ribosomal RNA", at positions 1 to 358 of the family's 1533-position model. The record is from RNAcentral. Lineage: Bacteria; Pseudomonadati; Pseudomonadota; Gammaproteobacteria; Pasteurellales; Pasteurellaceae.